Molecule: ribosomal RNA, 1401 nt
Filed under: metagenome
Description: bacterial SSU rRNA
Rfam family: Archaeal small subunit ribosomal RNA
Source: RNAcentral
AGGAUUCGACUAAGCCAUGCAAGUCAAGGGGCCUUCGGGCACCGGCAGAAUGCUGAGUAACACGUCAAUAAUCUGCCCUUAGCUCUGGGAUAACGUCGGGAAACUGACACUAACACCGGAUAGGAGAGGAAUACUGGAAUGUCUUUUCUUUGAAAGAUUACGGCUAAGGAUGAGUUGGCGGCUGAUUAGUUUGUUGGUGGGGUAAAGGCCCACCAAGGCUACGAUCAGUAUGGGCCUUGAGAGAGGUAGCCCACAGAGGGGUACUGAGACACUGACCCCAGCCCUACGGGGUGCAGCAGGCGCGAAACCUUUACAAUGCACGAAAGUGUGAUAAGGGAAUCCUAAGUGCUUAGGCAUUAGUCUAGGCUUUUUUCAACAGUAAAUAUGUUGGAGAAUAAGUGGUGGGUAAGACGGGUGCGAGCCGCCGCGGUAACACCUGCGCCACGAGUGGGAGCCAGUUUUAUUGGGUCUAAAGCGUCCGUAGCCGGUCUAGUAAAUCCUUUGUGAAAUCGUACAGCUUAACUGUACGGCGUGCAGGGGAGACUGCUAGACUUGGGACCGGGAGGAGCUAGGGGUAUUCUGGGGGGAGCGGUAAAAUGUUAUAAUCCUCGGAAGACCAACGGUGGCGAAGGCGCCUAGCUAGAACGGAUCCGACGGUGAGGGACGAAAGCCAGGGGAGCAAACAGGAUUAGAUACCCUAGUAGUCCUGGCUGUAAACUCUGUGUGCUAGAUGUUGCGUAACCUUGUGGUUUCGCAGUGUCGUAGAGAAGUCGUUUAGCACACCACCUGGGAAGUACGGUCGCAAGGCUGAAACUUAAAGGAAUUGGCGGGGGAGCACUACAAGAGGUGCGGCGUGCGGUUCAAUCUAACUCAACGCAGAGAAUCUCACUAGAAGCGAUGGCUCUAUGAUGACCAAGUUGAAGGCUUUGUCGGAGUCGCCAAGAGGUGGUGCAUGGCCGUCGUCAGCUCGUGUCGUGAGAUGUCCAUUUAAGUAUGGCAACGAGCGAGACCUGUAUCUUCAAUUGCCAGCAAGUUCAUCAGAAUGAUUGGGCACAUUGAAGAGACUGCAUGGGUAACCAUGAGGAAGGUGCAGGCUACGGUAGGUCUGUAUGCCCCGAAUCUUCUAGGCUACACGCGCGCAACAAUGACAGGAACAAUGGGCUGCAACCCUGAGAAGGGAAGCUAAUCCUCGAAAUCCUGCCUUAGUUUAGAUUGAGGAUUGUAACUCAUCCUCAUGACACCGGAAUCUCUAGUAAUCGGACGUUAGCAUCGUCCGGUGAAUAUGUCCCUGCUCCUUGCACACACCGCCCGUCAAACCAACCGAGCAGGUUCUAGGUGAGGCGCACCUUUUAGGUAUGUCGAAUCUAGGAUCAGUGAGGUGGGUUAAGUCGUCACAAGGUA